AUGGAUUGUUGACGACAGUUAGCGCGUCAAUUUGUGAACCGCAAGAGCACGGAUCAUCAUAGCUUUUCCCUUUGAGUAUUCCAUCCAUGAUUUAUCAAUCCGUGGAUCGGCAGGGAACUGACUAGGGUCUUCUAUCUAAUAAGCAACAAGAGUUUAUCAUCUUCUAGUUGUAAUUCUAGCUAAUAAGCAAGCAUAACAUGCAUCUCAUCCAAAACAAUCUUUAAACUAAUACCUCCG
Molecule: long non-coding RNA, 237 nt
Filed under: Setaria viridis
Lineage: Eukaryota; Viridiplantae; Streptophyta; Magnoliopsida; Poales; Poaceae
Description: long non-coding RNA (SVIR_LNC001567)
Source: RNAcentral